Molecule: ribosomal RNA, 916 nt
Filed under: uncultured bacterium
Lineage: Bacteria
Description: bacterial SSU rRNA
Rfam family: Bacterial small subunit ribosomal RNA
Source: RNAcentral
UUGUUGGUAAGGUAAAAGCUUACCAAGGCUUCGAUCAGUAGCUGGUCUGAGAGGACGACCAGCCACACUGGGACUGAGACACGGCCCAGACUCCUACGGGAGGCAGCAGUGGGGAAUUUUGGACAAUGGGGGCAACCCUGAUCCAGCCAUGCCGCGUGAGUGAAGAAGGCCUUCGGGUUGUAAAGCUCUUUCAGCCGGAACGAAACGGUUACGGAUAACACCCGUGACUACUGACGGUACCGGAAGAAGAAGCACCGGCUAACUACGUGCCAGCAGCCGCGGUAAUACGUAGGGUGCGAGCGUUAAUCGGAAUUACUGGGCGUAAAGCGUGCGCAGGUGGUUUUGUAAGUCAGAUGUGAAAGCCCCGGGCUCAACCUGGGAACUGCGUUUGAAACUACAAGACUAGAGUGUGGCAGAGGGGGGUGGAAUUCCGCGUGUAGCAGUGAAAUGCGUAGAGAUGUGGAGGAACACCGAUGGCGAAGGCAGCCCCCUGGGUCAACACUGACGCUCAGGCACGAAAGCAUGGGGAGCAAACAGGAUUAGAUACCCUGGUAGUCCAUGCCCUAAACGAUGUCAACUAGUUGUCGGGCCUUUACGGGCUUGGUAACGUAGCUAACGCGUGAAGUUGACCGCCUGGGGAGUACGAUCGCAAGAUUAAAACUCAAAUGAAUUGACGGGGACCCGCACAAGCGGUGGAUUAUGUGGAUUAAUUCGAUGCAACGCGAAAAACCUUACCUACCCUUGACAUGUAUCGAAGCCCGCAGAGAAGCGGGGGUGCCCGAAAGGGAACGAUAACACAGGUGCUGCAUGGCUGUCGUCAGCUCGUGUCGUGAGGUGUUGGGUUAAGUCCCGCAACGAGCGCAACCCUUGUCAUUAAUUGCCAUCAUUUAGUUGGGCACUUUAAUGAGACUGCCGG